This 2553-nucleotide long non-coding RNA is filed under the name Homo sapiens (human). Its description in RNAcentral is "HSALNT0028998". The record is from RNAcentral. Lineage: Eukaryota; Metazoa; Chordata; Mammalia; Primates; Hominidae.
UAUACAAGAAUAUCUUUGUGACCUUGGGGUACAGGAAGAGUUUUUAAGCAAGAUCCAAAAAGUGCCAAGCCAAAUAAAAGAUUGAUAAAUGUUUCUACAUUAAAAUUAAGAAAUCCUGGCUAUAAAAGGGCACUAUGAACAGAAUGAAAAGUCAAGCCACAGAGAUGAUGGUUGGAAUGCAUAUAAGCAACAGAAGGCUGAAAUCCAAAAUAAGCAGUAAGAAAGGCAGGCAACUGAGUCAAAAAAUGAGCAAUGACUUGAACAGGAAAUUCACAGAAAAUAUGGAAAUGCCAAAAAGCAUAUGAAAGAGUGCUCAAUUUUAUUUGUUAUCAGGGAAACCUAAAUUAAAAGCACGAGAUACCAAAUAUCUAAAACUAAGAAUGACAUUACUAAGUAUUGGUGCUGAUGUGAAGCAACUGGACCUCAUGCACUGCUGGGAGUGCAAAUUGUUAUGCCCACUUUGGAAAACAGUUUGACACUAUCUGAAGUUGAAAAUAAUGCAUUCUCUGUGACCCAGCUAUUCCAUUCCUAGGUAUAUACUUGUUAUGGUCUGAAUGUUUGUGUCUCCCUAAAAUUCAUAUGUUGAAAUCCUAACCCCCAAGGUGACAGUAUUAAGAGGUAGGGCCUUUGGAAGGUGAUUAGAUCAUGAAGUCAUAGCCCCCGUGAAUGGGAUUAGCACCCUUACAAUAAAAGAGGCUGAAGGAACUUCUUUGCUUGUUCUAGCAUAUAAUGACACAGUAAGAAGGUGCCAUCUAUGAAAGAAGCAGGACACCAGUCACCAAAUCUGCUGGUGCCUUGAUUUUGGACUUCUCAGCCUCCAGAACUAUUGCAGAUCACAGAACUUUAUUAAGAUGAAAUCACUGCGAAUUACACAGAAGCUACCAGACUAAGCCAAAAUCCAUGAGGUUCAUGUGAACUUACAGUUACAGAAAUAAGAAACAAAUGGCAUAUCCAAAACCAUAAGGAAAUAUCCUGAUGCCCAGGAUCUCCAGACUCGGUCAGCAUCUUUCGCUCGUCCUCCAGUCCUAUGUCUGGCUACGGUUCUGGAUUCAACACGAGCAGCAACUGCGGCACCUAAUCCACUUCAGGAUCUAGAAGGACUUGUUGACAAAUCCUGUUCACCAGAAAUUACAGCAGAGAUUGUAGACAGGAAGCUGCAGAGGAAAGAGGCACAAUGAGAAAUCAAGCUUGGACACAUUUGGUAGACUCCUAUAGUUAGAAUCUUACUGUGGCUGUCAUUGGGACCACACUGGAAGAAGGUGGUGGAACGGGAAUCCCCUGUGGAAAAAUGACUUUUGUUGUUGUUGUUGUUGUUGAGACAGAGUCUCGCUCCAUCACCUAGGCUGGAGUGCAGGGGCGCAAUCUCAGCUCACUGCAACCUCUGCCUCCCAGGUUCAAGCGAUUCUCCUGCCUCAGCCUCCUCAGUAGCUGGGACUACAGGCACCUACCACCACACCUGGCUAAUUAAGGUAUUUUUGGUAGAGGCAGGGUUUCUCCAUGUUGGCCAGGCUGGUCUUGAACUCCUGACCUCAAGCAAUCUGCCUGCCUUGGCCUCCCAAAAUGCAGGGAAAUACAGGCGUGAGACACUGCGCCCUGCCAAGAACUUUCAUUAUCAAAGGAAAUGCAGCAAAGGAGCUUCUUCCUCCCACCAAGCCAGUGACGGGUCUGUAUUCAAUGAAGUUGUCAUUCAAACCAGGACUGGGAAGCAACUGAUCUGUACCUUACCAUCAUAGGAAGCUCACCCCGUAGCACAGGGGAAACACUAGGAGGGCUGCAGGUUUGGAGUCUGUAGACUGUGCCACUUGGCUGCGUUUCCUUUCUUAGUCACUUAAUCAGUCUGAAGCUUAGGGUCCUCCUUAUAAUGUGAGGAUAUUAAUAGUUUCUCCUUUCCUGGGAUUUAUGUGAAGAUCAAGUGAGUAACAAAUGUGAUAAUACUUUAUUAACUGUUAAUCACACUACAAAUCUAAGGGUUUAUUACUGUGAUUUCUUUGUCUCACCUUUCCAUUCUCUUGCCUUGAAGGUUUUUUUUUCUUUUCUUUGAGACAGAGUUUCGCUCUUACUGCCCAGGCUGGAGUGCAAUGGCACGAUCUCGGCUCACUGCAACAUCCACCUCCUGAGUUGAAGCGAUUCUCCUGCCUCAGCCUCCCGAAUAGCUGGUAUUGCAGGCGCCCGGCUAAUUUUUGUAUUUUUUAGUAGAGACAGAGUUUCUCCAUGUUGGCCAGGCUGGUCUUGAACUCCUGACUUUGUUAUCCGCCCACCUCAGUCUCCCAAAGUGUUGGGAUUACAGGCGUGAGCCACCACGCUCGGCCUUUUUAAUACAUAUUUAUUUAUUUAUUUAUUUAUUUAUUUAUUUAUUUAUUUAUUCUUGCCUUGAAGGUCUUUAAACAUUCAUUCAUGGCCAGGUGCGGUGGCUGAUGCCUGUAAUCCCAGCACUUUGGGAGGCCGAGGCAGGUGGAUCACCUAAGGUCGGGAGUUCGAGACCAGCCUGACCAACAUGGAGAAACCCUGUCUCUACUAAAAAUAUACACAAAAAAUUAGCUGGAUGUGGUGGCG